GACGAACGCUGGCGGCGUGCUUAACACAUGCAAGUCGAGCGGUAAGGCCCUUUCGGGGGUACGACGAGCGGCGAACGGGUGAGUAACACGUGGGUGACCUGCCCUCAGCUCUGGGAUAAGCCUGGGAAACCGGGUCUAAUACUGGAUAUGACUCCAUGACGCAUGUUGUGGGGUGGAAAGCCUUGUGCGGCUGAGGAUGGGCCCGCGGCCUAUCAGCUUGUUGGUGGGGUGAGGCCUACCAAGGCGACGACGGGUAGCCGGCCUCGAGAGGGCGACCGGCCGACACUGGGACGUGAGACACGGCCCAGACUCCUACGGGAGGGCAGCAGUGGGGAAGUCUUGCG
This 344-nucleotide ribosomal RNA is filed under the name uncultured bacterium. RNAcentral describes it as "bacterial SSU rRNA". It matches the Rfam family "Bacterial small subunit ribosomal RNA", at positions 28 to 368 of the family's 1533-position model. The record is from RNAcentral.